GCGCAUAACACAUGCAAGUCGAGCGAGGGCUCAUUUCCCGCAAGGGAGAUGAGUUCCUAGCGGCGAACGGGUGAGUAACACGUGGGCAACCUUUCCUAUCGCGGGGGAUAACAGCGGGAAACCGCUGCUAAUACCGCAUGUCGUCAUCGGUCGCAUGGCCGGUGAAAAAAGCAGCAAUGCACGAUGGGGUGGGCCCGCGGCCUAUCAGCUAGUCGGUGGGGUAACGGCCUACCGAGGCGAUGACGGGUAGCUGGUCUGAGAGGACGACCAGCCACACGGGGACUGAGACACGGCCCCG
RNAcentral lists this ribosomal RNA (298 nucleotides) under uncultured bacterium. Its description in RNAcentral is "partial 16S ribosomal RNA". It matches the Rfam family "Bacterial small subunit ribosomal RNA", at positions 44 to 334 of the family's 1533-position model. The record is from RNAcentral.